GUAGCUCAGCUGGUUAGAGCACCACCUUGACAUGGUGGGGGUCGUUGGUUCGAGUCCAAUC
This 61-nucleotide transfer RNA is filed under the name Gallionellaceae bacterium CG_4_9_14_0_8_um_filter_60_335. RNAcentral describes it as "tRNA-Val". It matches the Rfam family "tRNA", at positions 7 to 64 of the family's 71-position model. Rfam says of the family: Transfer RNA (tRNA) molecules are approximately 80 nucleotides in length. Their secondary structure includes four short double-helical elements and three loops (D, anti-codon, and T loops). Lineage: Bacteria; Pseudomonadati; Pseudomonadota; Betaproteobacteria; Nitrosomonadales; Gallionellaceae. The record is from RNAcentral.